GUUUGAUACCCCGAAACUACGUGAGCUACUUCAAGACAGCCUAUUAAUAGGGCUAACCCAUCUCUGUGGCAAAAGCGUGGGAAGAACUUUGAGUAGAGGUGACAAACCUACCGAACCUAGUUAUAGCUGGUUGUCCAAGAAAUGAAUAAAAGUUCAGCCUCUAAGCUUCUCCUUUCACCUGAACUUAACCCCUUUAGAUGUAUUAAAGAAACUAAGAAAGUUAGUCAAAGGAGGUACAGCUCCUUUGAAUCAAGACACAACUUUAACAGGCGGGUAAAGAUCAUAAUAACCAAAGCUAGACAUUCUGGUGGGCCUAAAAGCAGCCAUCCCUUAGAAAGCGUUAAAGCUCAAACAUAUUACUUAUACCUUCUUAUCCUGAUCAAUAAAUCUCACCCCCCUAACCAUACUGGACCCUCCCAUGCCCCCAUGGGUGUGAUUAUGCUAAUAUGAGUAAUAAGAGAGCCCGCCUCUCUCCCUGCACACGUGUACCUCGGAACAGACAACCCACCGACCAUUAACGACCCCAAACAAAGAGGGCAGUAAAUCAUAAACUAAAAUCAAGUAAAACAUUUAAAAAUUAACCGUUAACCCCACACAGGUGUACCCCAAGGAAAGACCUAAAGAAAGAGAAGGAACUCGGCAAACACAUAAAGUCUCGCCUGUUUACCAAAAACAUCGCCUCUUGUACCCCCC
This 693-nucleotide ribosomal RNA is filed under the name Careproctus rastrinus. RNAcentral's name for it is "partial 16S rRNA". The stretch from base 1 to 443 matches the Rfam family "Bacterial large subunit ribosomal RNA", at positions 705 to 1298 of the family's 2925-position model. The record is from RNAcentral. Lineage: Eukaryota; Metazoa; Chordata; Actinopteri; Perciformes; Liparidae.